CAAAAUUCUACACACAAUACUCCACGCUGUGAAUAUGUUCUGGAUGCACCAUACACACAGAGAAUGUCUGCAAACAACAGACCUGAAACUAUUAUUCAAAUUAUGGAUUACUUAAAUUACUUUAAUGGAUUACUUAAAUUACUUAAAUUAUGGAUUGCCAGAAACUUAACAGUUGUUUUUCCCACUUUUAAGACAAUUUUUCUAAUCCAAAAGUAAAAUUGCUUGAAAUGUGCCUACAUUAUAGACAAUCUGUUUUUUUAACGUUUAAAAUUGGUCGUUAUCAAGGACAAAAUGUUCUGAAAUGAUAUUGAACUAUUCCAUAUGGGUUCUAAACCAGAUAUGAAUCACCUCUGAAUGCCUUGAAAGUGGUUAAAUUUGUGACAAACUAGUUAUGGUUGGUAUCUUAAAAGCAACAGAAUAUCUUUGGACUAUUUUGUUUUGUAUACAACAAAAUUAAGGAGGGCAAAUUCAUGUGAUCUGUUUUUAUUUAAUUAUUACAUACCACUUAUCUUAAAUGUAUUAAAGUAUUAAGUGUAUUAAAGUUUAUAUUAGUGGCUCCUGCGUACACCCCUCGCCGCCAUUGUCUCCCUUUCCCCUUCAUAACAAUAACCGGUGUUGCGCAAGACCAAGCUCAAAGGUCAGUUCAAAAAGAUUAAAAUUCACAAAUUCACAUUCACAGUUUAUCAUUUUAAUCUCUAACUAGUAUUGUGUUCAGUUAAUAUUUUUAAAGAAUGAGAAUGAGUAACUCUGAGCUUGUCUUUUUUAAUAGAACCUCUUCAGGAGAACCAGAAGCCCAUAAUAUUUAGAACUGUUGUGGAUAUGUCUACACAGUUAUGUACUGUAGGAUACUCGUGGAAGUGUAAAAGAAUAUAAUGUAUUUUGUUGUUUGUUUGUUUCACAUGUAUGCAUGUCCAUCAGCUCAAGUAGGCAAUUAACUACUCACCUACCAAAAAUCCAUAACGGUCUUCAAACAAAAUCAACUAGUUAUAAGUAUUCUGUCAAAACAGUAGGUGUGAAAGCUCUCUCGUAACACAGUUGGGACCAAAAGACCCAAUUUUGGUUCAACUAAAAGAGCUGGUCUCAGACUGAAUGAAACUGGACCACGGUCCAGUGUGCUGACAGUUUUGAAAAGUUUGGACCUUUGGACAAAUAACUGGAAGGGGGUGGACUAUUGUCACCCCUUAUACAAUAGAAGAAGAAAAUAAACUGUCAGCAGUUUAAUUAAUGUGCCUGAUUAAAACGGUGUGACUGCCUGCGCCACACUCUGUCUGUUCUUCUUGUCAAAGAUAAAAAGUCAAUUUUCUGUGUCAAAAAUAUUUUCCUUUUGAUGGCAAGAUGUGUGAAAUUCCUCACCACCACCAAAAACAAAACAAAAUGUUUGACAUGCAGGGAGGUGCUGUCCACUGGCCCCCAAUAUCAGCCAGCCAAAAAAAAAUAAAAAAAACAACAAAAAAAAAAAACCCCACAAAUAUGGACAAACAUGAA
Thalassophryne amazonica is the source of this 1485-nucleotide long non-coding RNA. RefSeq lists it as uncharacterized. NCBI's taxonomy places the organism in Eukaryota, Metazoa, Chordata, Actinopteri, Batrachoidiformes, Batrachoididae. The record is from RefSeq and is a predicted model, not a curated record. The transcript is spliced from 2 exons.